RNAcentral lists this ribosomal RNA (423 nucleotides) under uncultured bacterium. RNAcentral describes it as "bacterial SSU rRNA". It matches the Rfam family "Bacterial small subunit ribosomal RNA", at positions 356 to 775 of the family's 1533-position model. The record is from RNAcentral.
GAGGAAUAUUGGUCAAUGGGCGCAAGCCUGAACCAGCCAUCCCGCGUGCAGGAAGACGGCGCUAUGCGUUGUAAACUGCUUUUCCAGGGGGAGAAACUUGCGCACGUGUUGCGCAAUUGACGGUACCCUGGGAAUAAGCAUCGGCUAACUCCGUGCCAGCAGCCGCGGUAAUACGGAGGAUGCGAGCGUUAUCCGGAUUCAUUGGGUUUAAAGGGUGCGUAGGCGGACUAUUAAGUCAGUGGUGAAAUCCUGCAGCUUAACUGCAGAACUGCCAUUGAUACUGAUAGCCUUGAGUUUGGUUAAGGUAGGCGGAAUGUGUAAUGUAGCGGUGAAAUGCUUAGAUAUUACACAGAACACCAAUUGCGUAGGCAGCUUACUGAGCCGACACUGACGCUGAGGCACGAAAGCGUGGGGAUCGAACAG